Molecule: ribosomal RNA, 505 nt
Filed under: uncultured Acidobacteriota bacterium
Lineage: Bacteria; Pseudomonadati; Acidobacteriota
Description: bacterial SSU rRNA
Rfam family: Bacterial small subunit ribosomal RNA
Source: RNAcentral
GAGUUUGAUCCUGGCUCAGAAUCAACGCUGGCGGCGUGCCUAACACAUGCAAGUCGAGCGAGAAAAGGUAGCAAUACCCUAGUAAAGCGGCGCACGGGUGAGUAACACGUGGAUAACCUGCCUCGAAGUGGGGAAUAACACCGGGAAACCGGUGCUAAUACCCGCAUAAUCUGACGAGAUCUGUGGAUUUUGUCAGCAAAGGAGCAAUUCGCUUUGAGAGGGGUCCGCGGCUGAUUAGCUAGUUGGUGAGGUAAUGGCUCACCAAGGCCACGAUCAGUAGCCGGUCUGAGAGGACGGUCGGCCACACUGGAACUGAGACACGGUCCAGACUCCUACGGGAGGCAGCAGUGGGGAAUUUUUCGCAAUGGGGGCAACCCUGACGAAGCAACGCCGCGUGGGUGAUGAAGUAUUUCGGUACGUAAAACCCUUUCGACGGGGACGAAACCGCAAGGUUGACGGUACCCGUAGAAGAAGCCCCGGCUAACUCCGUGCCAGCAGCCGCAGU